UAUGGUCGUCGUAGGUAUAAUUACGGAGGCUAUGGGUACCGUCGUCAUUACAGGUACUGGUAGAAAAGGUCAUACCAAGCUACACUGACCUCGCAGAUUGUGACAGCUGUUCAUCACAGAACAAAAUUAACAGUUCGAUAUCACUUAAUAAAAGCUUUUUAAUCCA
Long non-coding RNA from Penaeus monodon (black tiger shrimp), 166 nucleotides. RefSeq lists it as uncharacterized. Lineage: Eukaryota; Metazoa; Arthropoda; Malacostraca; Decapoda; Penaeidae. The transcript has 2 exons. The record is from RefSeq and is a predicted model, not a curated record.